GACGAACGCUGGCGGCGUGCUUAAGACAUGCAAGUCGUGCGGACACCUUCGGGUGUUAGCGGCGGACGGGUGAGUAACACGUGGAUAACCUGCCUUUGACACUGGGACAACAGGCCGAAAGGCCUGCUAAUACCGGAUAAGCUCACAGGACCGCAUGGUUCUGGGAGAAAAGGCGCUGCAAGGCGUCGGUGAAAGAGGGAUCCGCGGCCCAUUAGCUAGUUGGAGGGGUAACGGCCCACCAAGGCGACGAUGGGUAGCCGGCCUGAGAGGGCGACCGGCCACACUGGGACUGAGACACGGCCCAGACUCCUACGGGAGGCAGCAGUGGGGAAUCUUCCGCAAUGGACGAAAGCCUGACGCAGCGACGCCGCGUGGGGGAGGAAGGUUUUCGGAUCGUAAACCCCUGUUGCCCGGGACGAAUCCCUGGUUUAGACCAGGUUGACGGUACCGGGUGAGGAAGCACCGGCUAA
Molecule: ribosomal RNA, 470 nt
Filed under: uncultured bacterium
Lineage: Bacteria
Description: bacterial SSU rRNA
Rfam family: Bacterial small subunit ribosomal RNA
Source: RNAcentral